This 121-nucleotide ribosomal RNA is filed under the name Schizosaccharomyces cryophilus OY26. The record is from RNAcentral. Lineage: Eukaryota; Fungi; Ascomycota; Schizosaccharomycetes; Schizosaccharomycetales; Schizosaccharomycetaceae.
ACGGCCACACCUAGGCGAAAACACCAGUUCCCGUCCGAUCACUGCAGUUGAGUGAAAACGUCUGAUGGCCUCGUUUGUACUAUGGUUGGAGACAACAUGGGAAUCCGGGGUGCUGUAGGAU